Molecule: long non-coding RNA, 617 nt
Organism: Mastomys coucha (southern multimammate mouse)
Lineage: Eukaryota; Metazoa; Chordata; Mammalia; Rodentia; Muridae
Exons: 3
Source: RefSeq, a predicted model, not a curated record
CUAGGAAGAAUAUAGUUUGACAAAAUAUAUUUUUUAGAUAAUUAAUAUAGUUGAAACAAUUUUUGUGGAAAAAAACAGUGACUUGAAAUUUUAUCAUUCUGUAUACAUUUAAGAGGGUUGUAGUUAUUGCUAGUUUAGGUGCUUAAACUACUUCACCUCCUUCACUAGCAACAUUCUAAAGGUAUCUGGUUGGCAUGCAGACAGCUAACUUCAAAGAUGCUGGUAACAUGUUUCAAAAAGGACAAAGAAACAUUUUAACAAGAUAUUGCUCAUGAAGAAGGAUAGUGGAUUAAUGCUGGUAUAAUGAAGCAGUAAGUUUCACCUUCGCACUGGAACUCCAGAUUUAUUCAGUGUUAACUGCACACAUACAACAUUGUAUUGCAUGUCAAUAUUCAUAAUAAAAUCUGUUACAUGUAUUUAUCAAAAAAUAAGAAUAAUGGAUUAUUAAAUAGGUACAGAAUUACUUGUGAAAUGAAUAAAACAGUAAUAUAUAAAUUGUUAAAGUUUUGUGGUAUUUAUGUCAGUAUUCUUUAAAUGAUUGUUUCAAAGUGUGUAUAACAAAAUAUUAGAAAUAUUUAAAAUAUCACCUGAAAGGAGCAAUAAUAAGCUGCCUUUGC